RNAcentral lists this small nucleolar RNA (89 nucleotides) under Zea mays. RNAcentral describes it as "Small nucleolar RNA R38". It matches the Rfam family "Small nucleolar RNA R38". Rfam says of the family: snoR38 is a C/D box small nucleolar RNA conserved across yeast, human, Arabidopsis and rice. It is encoded in the intron of elongation factor-1 gamma in both pombe and cerevisiae. snoR38 guides the methylation of 2'-O-ribose sites in 28S rRNA. The record is from Rfam by way of RNAcentral. Lineage: Eukaryota; Viridiplantae; Streptophyta; Magnoliopsida; Poales; Poaceae.
AGUUGUGGAUGAUGAUACCAAAGUAAAAUACAGUUAUCCCUGGCUUAUUCCUUUUAAAAGGGUGCUGAGAACAUUAUUCUGACACAACU